GGAGGUGUCUGGGCUCCUGGUGGUCCCCCCGGUCUUCAAAACCGGUGUGCGGCGGCAUCCGUCGCAGGCGGGUUCGAUUCCCGUCCGCCUCCGCCA
This 96-nucleotide transfer RNA is filed under the name Intrasporangium sp. RNAcentral describes it as "tRNA-Sec". It matches the Rfam family "Selenocysteine transfer RNA". Lineage: Bacteria; Bacillati; Actinomycetota; Actinomycetes; Micrococcales; Intrasporangiaceae. The record is from RNAcentral.